RNAcentral lists this ribosomal RNA (483 nucleotides) under uncultured bacterium. Its description in RNAcentral is "partial 16S ribosomal RNA". It matches the Rfam family "Bacterial small subunit ribosomal RNA", at positions 30 to 506 of the family's 1533-position model. The record is from RNAcentral.
AUUGAACGCUGGCGGCAUGCUUUACACAUGCAAGUCGAACGGCAGCGCGGGCUUCGGCCUGGCGGCGAGUGGCGAACGGGUGAGUAAUACAUCGGAACGUGCCCAGUAGUGGGGGAUAGCUCGGCGAAAGCCGGAUUAAUACCGCAUACGACCUGAGGGUGAAAGCGGGGGAUCUUCGGACCUCGCGCUAUUGGAGCGGCCGAUGGCAGAUUAGCUAGUUGGUGGGGUAAAGGCCUACCAAGGCGACGAUCUGUAGCUGGUCUGAGAGGACGACCUGCCACACUGGGACUGAGACACGGCCCAGACUCCUACGGGAGGCAGCAGUGGGGAAUUUUGGACAAUGGGCGAAAGCCUGAUCCAGCAAUGCCGCGUGUGUGAUGAAGGCCUUCGGGUUGUAAAGCACUUUUGGCGGGAACGAAAAGGACUGUGCCAAUACCACGGUUUGAUGACGGUACCCGCAGAAUAAGCACCGGCUAACUACGU